This 518-nucleotide ribosomal RNA is filed under the name uncultured Phytophthora. RNAcentral describes it as "SSU rRNA". It matches the Rfam family "Eukaryotic small subunit ribosomal RNA", at positions 547 to 1056 of the family's 1831-position model. The record is from RNAcentral. Lineage: Eukaryota; Oomycota; Peronosporomycetes; Peronosporales; Peronosporaceae.
AUUGGAGGGCAAGUCUGGUGCCAGCAGCCGCGGUAAUUCCAGCUCCAAUAGCGUAUAUUAAAGUUGUUGCAGUUAAAAAGCUCGUAGUUGGAUUUCUGUCUUGGACGUUCGGUCCGCUUCCUUUGGGAGUGUGUAUUUAUGGAUGUUCGAGGCAUUUUUUGUGAGUCCGCCUUUCUGCCAUUAAGUUGGUGUGUUGGUGGGUUUGCAUCGUUUACUGUGAAAAAAUUAGAGUGUUUAAAGCAGGCGUUUGCUCAUUUGAAUACAUUAGCAUGGAAUAAUAAGAUAUGACUCUGGUGGUCUAUUUUGUUGGUUUGCACACCAGAGUAAUGAUUAAUAGGGACAGUUGGGGGUAUUCAUAUUUCAGCGUCAGAGGUGAAAUUCUUGGAUCGCUGGAAGAUGAGCUUAGGCGAAAGCAUUUACCAAGGAUGUUUUCAUUAAUCAAGAACGAAAGUUAGGGGAUCGAAGAUGAUUAGAUACCAUCGUAGUCUUAACCAUAAACUAUGCCGACUAGGGAUCGG